RNAcentral lists this ribosomal RNA (163 nucleotides) under uncultured bacterium. RNAcentral describes it as "partial 16S rRNA". It matches the Rfam family "Bacterial small subunit ribosomal RNA", at positions 355 to 511 of the family's 1533-position model. The record is from RNAcentral.
UAGGGAAUCUUCUACAAUGGGCGAAAGCCUGAUGGAGCAACGCCGCGUGUGUGAUGAAGGGUUUCGGCUCGUAAACACUGUUGUAAGAGAAGAAUGACAUUGAGAGUAACUGUUCAAUGUGUGACGGUAUCUUACCAGAAAGGAACGGCUAAAUACGUGCCAG